CCAUUACCUCAACGGGGGGGUUUUCAGCCGUGUAUUCGGCUGAUUCCCGCCUGUUUGACGUUACCCAUGCCUUUUUGCGUACAGUUUGUUUUCCCAGCAGGGCACUUGUGCCCCUACGGGAUAUCAAUCCACCCAUGUAUUUGCAGUCAAUGUCUGAAAAUUAUAAUAAUUA
Molecule: unclassified non-coding RNA, 172 nt
Filed under: uncultured Leptosphaeria
Lineage: Eukaryota; Fungi; Ascomycota; Dothideomycetes; Pleosporales; Leptosphaeriaceae
Description: sequence contains ITS1
Source: RNAcentral